This 121-nucleotide small nuclear RNA is filed under the name Schistosoma mansoni. Its description in RNAcentral is "U5 spliceosomal RNA". It matches the Rfam family "U5 spliceosomal RNA". From Rfam's summary of the family: U5 RNA is a component of both types of known spliceosome. The precise function of this molecule is unknown, though it is known that the 5' loop is required for splice site selection and p220 binding, and that both the 3' stem-loop and the Sm site are important for Sm protein binding and cap methylation. Lineage: Eukaryota; Metazoa; Platyhelminthes; Trematoda; Strigeidida; Schistosomatidae. The record is from Rfam by way of RNAcentral.
UAACUCUGGUGUCUCCUCAUUUGCAGAUACAUCUUUCGCCUCUUACUAAAGAUUUCCGUGGGGAGGCACAAUACAAUGCGUCUUAUCUCAGUUUUUUCCAACUCCGUCUUUGCACGGAGUA